RNAcentral lists this microRNA (23 nucleotides) under Gallus gallus (chicken). Its description in RNAcentral is "gga-miR-6668-3p". The record is from miRBase by way of RNAcentral. Lineage: Eukaryota; Metazoa; Chordata; Aves; Galliformes; Phasianidae.
UGGAAUCGUGGAAUAGCUUGGGU